CAAAAUCGAAAAUUUCAGUUCAUUCUUGUUCUGUUUUGCAUCGUGUUAAGUCCUCUGAUUUCAUUCUUGUUAUCUUCGCGUGCUUGUGUUUGCCUCGUCGUCAGAUGUGUGAUAUCUACUUGGAUUAAAUCGUUCAAAUAACUUAUUAAGCGUGUACCCACUGGUGCAUUGAAACAAAGAAAAAAAUACAAAUCACUUAUUCAAUAUCCAUAUGAGCACAAAAACAA
This is a long non-coding RNA of Bactrocera latifrons, 227 nucleotides long. RefSeq lists it as uncharacterized. Lineage: Eukaryota; Metazoa; Arthropoda; Insecta; Diptera; Tephritidae. The record is from RefSeq and is a predicted model, not a curated record. The transcript is spliced from 2 exons.